CUGUCUUUAAAAGUUGGACCAAGAGAAAAGUUUCAGAUGGAGCCACUGAAACUGUCGCGCAGCCUCAAGCCCUUACCUUCCUUUUCUUUUUGGUCUUCUUUCUUUCUUGGUGCUGCUGGACCGUGGAGUUUCUCCUCCAUUUUCUUGAGCCUUCUCAUCCUUUGAAGCUUCAAGACCUGGACCACUCUUUUCUCCUUGUGCUAGCUGCAGAACUUGGGACAAGUCCUUCUCCACCUUUUGAUUUCUUCUUCCUCAUUGACG
Molecule: long non-coding RNA, 261 nt
Filed under: Glycine max (soybean)
Lineage: Eukaryota; Viridiplantae; Streptophyta; Magnoliopsida; Fabales; Fabaceae
Description: long non-coding RNA (GMAX_LNC003686)
Source: RNAcentral